Molecule: unclassified non-coding RNA, 220 nt
Filed under: Hevea brasiliensis (rubber tree)
Lineage: Eukaryota; Viridiplantae; Streptophyta; Magnoliopsida; Malpighiales; Euphorbiaceae
Source: RNAcentral
GCUAUUCUAAGUGGAGAAUGCGUGUAUCAUGGUGGGAAGGAUGUGAUAAAUGGAAAAUUAUACGAUAUAACGGACCCCAUACAUGUGUUAAUCCAUCACUCUCACAAGACCAUAGGCAAUUGGAUAGCAGAUUUAUAACUGAGUUCAUCCAGGCUACUGUACAAGAAUAACUAAGUCUGAAGAUAGCUGUGUUACAAGUGGAAAUCAAAGAUAACGCUGA